RNAcentral lists this ribosomal RNA (460 nucleotides) under uncultured bacterium. RNAcentral's name for it is "partial 16S ribosomal RNA". It matches the Rfam family "Bacterial small subunit ribosomal RNA", at positions 338 to 795 of the family's 1533-position model. The record is from RNAcentral.
CCUACGGGUGGCAGCAGUGAGGAAUAUUGGUCAAUGGGCGCGAGCCUGAACCAGCCAAGUCGCGUGAGGGAAGACGGUCCUAUGGAUUGUAAACCUCUUUUGUCGGGGAGCAAAAGACGCCACGCGUGGCGUUCCGCGAGUACCCGAAGAAAAAGCAUCGGCUAACUCCGUGCCAGCAGCCGCGGUAAUACGGAGGAUGCGAGCGUUAUCCGGAUUUAUUGGGUUUAAAGGGAGCGUAGAUGGGUUGUUAAGUCAGUUGUGAAAGUUUGCGGCUCAACCGUAAAAUUGCAAUUGAUACUGGCAGCCUUGAGUACAGUUGAGGUAGGCGGAAUUCGUGGUGUAGCGGUGAAAUGCUUAGAUAUCACGAAGAACUCCGAUUGCGAAGGCAGCUUACUAAACUGCCACUGACAUUGAUGCUCGAAAGUGUGGGUAUCAAACAGGAUUAGAUACCCUGGUAGUC